This 1072-nucleotide long non-coding RNA is filed under the name Helianthus annuus (common sunflower). Its description in RNAcentral is "hypothetical non coding rna". Lineage: Eukaryota; Viridiplantae; Streptophyta; Magnoliopsida; Asterales; Asteraceae. The record is from RNAcentral.
UUCCUGUAAUUCUUCAUCACACUCGAUCUCAACAUUUUGCUUAGUAUUAUACCCCAUAAUGAUAAUAAAGCCCUGUCCCGUUUUAAGUGUUGUAACCCCUGAUCACUGAUACCCUGUCCAAGUGACGUAGGGCCCCGUAACGUAUGUCAAGGCUAUGCCUAAAUUCGUUGGGGUUCUGUUUCGUGACGUAGGGAUAAAGUGGAAUUGGGUUACUAUACUUAAUGUGAGUGCACUAUAUAUUUUAGUAAAUAACCCAGAAGUGAUACUCGAAAUAUAGCAACUCUCCUAAAACACCCCUGACACCCUACACUUCCUGAGAUACAUCCCAUACGUGAAAACCGAGCCCGAAUUAUAAUAUAAUAUUAAAAAUAAAUGGAAAACAAGAAAAAGUAAGCUUAGGCGGGCCGCGUAACCCAACCCAGUUAGUUAACGCGGGCCGCGAGAGGUUCAAAAGGUGGCGCAGCCCGGUGCGGCCACGUGGCCCAACACCCGGCAGGUCUAGUUGGUGACUCGGACAAGCUACGCUGUUGACCAGUGUUGACGCGGGCCGCGUAGACCUUGGUCUACCUUUACGCGGGCCGCGAGAGGACCCGAAAUCAGCACUAUAUAUAGAGGGCCUCGGAUCUUCAGUUGAAUUCGUUCACAAAUCGUUUUCUUUUUCUCAAAUCUAAAGUGUAGGCAUUAUACACGGGUAUAAUACCCCCCUAAUUAGCGAAGCUCUGCCUCGUUGUAAGUAUCAUAACCCAUGGAUACGUAUUAGAUACUCUGCCCGAUUGAUCUAGGGUUCCGUAACGGCUGUCGUGGUCCUGCCCGACGUAGUCGUUGGAAUGCCGUCUCGGGAAGGAUUAUAACCAGGGAAUCACAAAGGAAAGCCCUAUAAUAGCAAUGUAACUUAGUAUGAAGCCAAUAAAAGCCAGCUGGAGAGCACUGAAGGCUUGGAAAAGUGGCUAUAAAGUUACCUAAAAUAAAAUAGAUGUUUUUAUUAAAUAAAAUAGGAUUUAUUCCUAUGAAAAUGUGUGUACUACAAACUUGGGUUUUACCCAUGUGUUUAAUGUUAUAAAAUGUGGUGGUU